CGAGCUCGCCAGACAGUCGCCGCCGGUUAUUGCCGGGGGAGGAAAGUCCGGGCUCCGCAGGGCAAGGUGCCAGGUAACGCCUGGGCGGCGCGAGCCGACGGAAAGUGCAACAGAAAGUAUACCGCCUAAGCGCUUUCGGGCGCCGGUAAGGGUGAAAUGGUGCGGUAAGAGCGCACCGCGUGGCUGGCAACAGUCCACGGCGAUGGUAAACCCCACCUGGAGCAAGACCAAAUAGGAGUCCUAUGGCGUGGCCCGCGCUGGACUCGGGUAGGUCGCUUGAGGCCUGUGGUGACGCAGGCCCUAGAUGAAUGACUGUCCCAGACAGAACCCGGCUUAUCGGCGGGCUCACGAU
Molecule: RNase P RNA, 352 nt
Filed under: Marinobacter sp.
Lineage: Bacteria; Pseudomonadati; Pseudomonadota; Gammaproteobacteria; Pseudomonadales; Marinobacteraceae
Description: RNase P RNA component class A
Rfam family: Bacterial RNase P class A
About the family: Ribonuclease P (RNase P) is a ubiquitous endoribonuclease, found in archaea, bacteria and eukarya as well as chloroplasts and mitochondria.
Source: RNAcentral